UGACCUUCAAUCUCCAUCCAACCCCCCCUUCGCCUCUUCUAUCUUUCUUUUUUUUUUCCUCAUUCACCGAUUCCACCCGUUCGCCUCCCCACGCCCUUUCCCUCUGCCUCACCACCUACACCCCACCCCCUCUUUUUCUCCACUGUUUGCUCUCCCUACUCACAGCCCUUUUUUUUCACCUCCACAAUUUGGUGGGGCAUCACCUAUCCUCUCUCUUCCGUUCGUCCCCCCCAACUGCCCACGGCUCUACCUUAUCUCAUUCUUUGUGGAGUUUUUGCAAAACCCGUACAAGACGCUUCGGUGGUGUGGUCGUAGCGAUGGCGGAAGCGAUGAACGCGAUGGCAUUGGAGACCAAGGCGGCAGCGGUGGCUGCGAUAUGAGGCGACGGCGCAGCGGUUGUAAAGAUCGCGCUCUUGGAGAUCAACAUCAAACUGAGGGGCGACAAUGGUGGAGGCGAGGGCGGUGGAGAUCGAGGCGACGACAGUGGUGGCUGCAGACCUCACCCUUUUGGAGAUCAACAUUAAGUGGGAGAGCCCCUCCGCAAAAAUCCCCUCCUCCGGUCCCUCUCAUCCACUUGAGAAAUUCCUGUUCUUACUGCCUUAUUCUGGAGAACCCCUCAUUUUAUAGGAUUUUUCUAGGAGUUCACGGUCGACUCAUCCAAAAAGGUACGAAAUAUCUGAUUUCGUGUGCGAUGCAAGUUAUUUUUGCUAAAAUCCAAGAUAUGGAGUUCUUAGAUCAUUGCCCAUCACCCCUGGUUGCAGCUACCAUAAUAUGUGCUACUGAUGAGACACCAGCUGUAGCAUUUAUUAAUCCUGGGAUAGUUGUUACAUGGUGUGUUGGACUUACAGAGUUAUUUAGGUCUCAAUUAUUCAAUCGCUUCUUGAAGAGAAGCCAGGAUAAUUUUUGACGUACAUGCGGACCUGGGGUAUCAAACUGUAAUUUGUUUAUUAUGGUGAAGCAUCUACCUGGAUUUAAGAUGCUUUGUGAAUAGUUUGAGUGUAUGGUAAUGAAAUCUUUUCUUUCUGCUAGCACUCCUUAACAACUUCGUGCUAAUAUUUUCUUACGUGAUGUUGUAUUUGUAAAGUUGAAUUUUUAUAAAUUUUACAGCUUUCUGUGAUUUAUAUUUGUUCAAAUAGUGUUGGGGAGCUUUCCUUUUAUUGUGAUUAAAUGUUGCUUUUUGGAGGCAUAGUAGCAUAACUCUUUUGUCCCUUUAUGAUCUGUUAACAAAAAAUUGGGAAAUAUAAAUGGUAAUUUGAAUUGAAUAGAUUAUUCUCUUUGUAUAUUGAAAGUAUUUGGUUUAGCAAGUUGUUGGCAGAACAAAGGGCAAUGGCUGCAGUUGCGUAGCGCCCCUUGACCAAUGCUGGUUCUCAAAAUCAUACCACCGCUCUUCAUGAUUCGGUUUGAUCUGGUGCCCCUACAUUCACUUUAAUCAAAUGUACUCUAUUCCGGAUGUUUCACUUGGAUCAUGGUUGACUGGAUUAGAUGCCGAGCAUAUUGAAGAUUGAAGAUCAUGCUGCCGUGCUCACUUGGAUAUGAUUCUUUAUUUCCUCUUCUUUGUCUUAUAUAUCAACUUCCGAUAAUAUUAUUCUAGAUAUUCCAUAAAAUAUCAAUAGUUUUAUUUAUCUAUUUAUGCUAAUCAUUGAACUCACGAUUCUCCAAUCAUUCCUAAAAUCUGAUUAUUUACUUAUUUAUUCAUUUUUUUGAAGCCGUGUCAGAAUCAGUU
This is an RNA transcript of Ananas comosus (pineapple), 1723 nucleotides long. It is a transcript of the gene named cyclin-D1-1-like, with no coding region annotated. The transcript has 8 exons. NCBI's taxonomy places the organism in Eukaryota, Viridiplantae, Streptophyta, Magnoliopsida, Poales, Bromeliaceae. The record is from RefSeq and is a predicted model, not a curated record.